This 70-nucleotide transfer RNA is filed under the name Phytophthora infestans (potato late blight agent). It matches the Rfam family "tRNA". Rfam says of the family: Transfer RNA (tRNA) molecules are approximately 80 nucleotides in length. RNAcentral also lists the same sequence under 1 other name. The record is from Rfam by way of RNAcentral. Lineage: Eukaryota; Oomycota; Peronosporomycetes; Peronosporales; Peronosporaceae.
CCCCUUGUAGCUCAGUGGUCGAGCGUUGGCUUUGGAAGCCACAGGUCGGUGGUUCGAGCCCACCAGGGCA